GAAAUGUGUUACUGACAAGCCUGCAGGCCACAUGGCGAGAUGGAAAGCAAGCAGGUUCGUGAACCAGGAAGUUGGGACUGCAUCACUGGGCCGGUCACUCCACUUCGUGGUACUUCUGCUUCCUCCUCCAAGUAAAGACCAAAGAAACUCGUUGAGGACAAUGGAAGAUGGGCUCAGAAGAAAAUGGAUACAGCUGAAGCUAGAUGGGUCAUGGGUGAAAGCAGGACAGGACCUCAUUCUCCAACAGAUACCAAGUAAGCCCCCAACACUGCACAGGCUGUCACACUUGGCGAGGGAACCAGAAUCCCCAAUCUCCCUGCUACACAAAGUCAGUAGCUGUUUUGCUUGCAUUGAUGGGUAGGCAGCGGUUGGUGCCUCGGUGCUGUGAGGCGAUGUCCUCUACCCACAGCUCUGGAAGCCAACUCACCAUGCCAGGGAGGGCAACUUGCAACAUCAUGGUCACAAAGUGGCCACCCUACCAUUUCAGCAAAUGUCUUCCUAUGUCCAUUAACUAGGGGGAACUGGCUAACUCCAUACGCUUUUU
RNAcentral lists this long non-coding RNA (544 nucleotides) under Pan troglodytes (chimpanzee). RNAcentral describes it as "long non-coding RNA NONPTRT003018". Lineage: Eukaryota; Metazoa; Chordata; Mammalia; Primates; Hominidae. The record is from RNAcentral.